UGAGGAAUAUUGGUCAAUGGACGCAAGUCUGAACCAGCCAAGCAGCGUGCAGGAUGACGGCCCUAUGGGUUGUAAACUGCUUUUAUAUGGGGAUAAAGUGGGGAACGUGUUCCCUUUUGCAGGUACCAUAUGAAUAAGGACCGGCUAAUUCCGUGCCAGCAGCCGCGGUAAUACGGAAGGUUCGGGCGUUAUCCGGAUUUAUUGGGUUUAAAGGGAGCGUAGGCCGUUUGGUAAGCGUGUUGUGAAAUGUAGGAGCUCAACUUCUAGAUUGCAGCGCGAACUGUCAGACUUGAGUGCGCACAACGUAGGCGGAAUUCAUGGUGUAGCGGUGAAAUGCUUAGAUAUCAUGAAGAACUCCGAUUGCGAAGGCAGCUUACGGGAGCGCAACUGACGCUGAAGCUCGAAGGUGCGGGUAGCGAACAGG
Molecule: ribosomal RNA, 424 nt
Filed under: Verrucomicrobiota bacterium
Lineage: Bacteria; Pseudomonadati; Verrucomicrobiota
Description: Verrucomicrobia bacterium partial 16S ribosomal RNA
Rfam family: Bacterial small subunit ribosomal RNA
Source: RNAcentral